This 154-nucleotide ribosomal RNA is filed under the name uncultured Acinetobacter sp. Its description in RNAcentral is "partial 16S ribosomal RNA". It matches the Rfam family "Bacterial small subunit ribosomal RNA", at positions 381 to 526 of the family's 1533-position model. Lineage: Bacteria; Pseudomonadati; Pseudomonadota; Gammaproteobacteria; Moraxellales; Moraxellaceae. The record is from RNAcentral.
ACCUGAUCCAGCCAUGCCGCGUGUGUGAAGAAGGCCUUAUGGUUGUAAAGCACUUUAAGCGAGGAGGAGGCUACUAGUAUUAAUACUACUGGAUAGUGGACGUUACUCGCAGAAUAAGCACCGGCUAACUCUGUGCCAGCAGCCGCGGUAAUAA